CCUACGGGAGGCAGCAGUGAGGAAUAUUGGUCAAUGGGCGGGAGCCUGAACCAGCCAAGUCGCGUGAAGGAAGAAGGUACUUAGUAUUGUAAACUUCUUUUGUCGGGGAACAAAGGCGGCGACGCGUCUCCGGAUGAGUGUACCCGAAGAAAAAGCAUCGGCUACCUCCGUGCCAGCAGCCGCGGUAAUACGGAGGAUGCGAGCGUUAUCCGGGUUUAUUGGGUUUAAGGGGCGCGCAGGCGGGCGAUCAAGUCAGCGGUAAAAUGUCGGGGCUCAACCCCGGCCGGCCGUUGCAACUGGUUGUCUAGAGUGGGAGAGAGGUAUGCGGAAGUCGUGGUGUAGCGGUGAAAUGCAGAGAUAUCACGAAGAACUCCGAUUGCGAAGGCAGCAUACCGGCUCCAGACUGACGCUGAGGCACGAAAGCGUGGGGAUCGAACAGGAUUAGAUACCCGUGUAGUC
Molecule: ribosomal RNA, 459 nt
Filed under: uncultured bacterium
Lineage: Bacteria
Description: partial 16S ribosomal RNA
Rfam family: Bacterial small subunit ribosomal RNA
Source: RNAcentral